AUAUAAGAUGUUGUAAGAUCCCGGCCAAAUCCCUAUAGUGCGCAGUCCGAAUUCAACCAGGGGGCUCACGGUGGUCGUUAAACCCAUUUUACGUUAACUUCUGAUUAGCAAGGCGACCCCGUAUCCAGCGCGUUUGACAUUUAAGACGACACAGAAAUCUCACUAUUCAACGCCAGGCAACGUCAAGUAAUCCUCAAGAAUUCUAGAGGGUUCAUCGCCCAAGCACGAACCCGGUGACCGUCGGUCAGUCGAAAUUAUUCAUCGCGCAUGCAUGAAGUAUAUUAUAAGAGAAGAACACUGUAUGACUAUGAUUUCGAGUUUGUCGAAGGAAAAAAAUAUAUCAUAGGUAACAAGUUUUGCGCUUCUCGAAUGUUUCCAGGUGUACGAUUGCAAUGUUAUUUGCUUUAAAAAUGCAAAAGGUGCAUUUCAAAUAAACUUGUGCAUCAUGAUACACUACGGAGUUAUAAUCAAAGGUAAGAUAAAAAACUUCGCAAGGAAGGGAGUCGGAUAUCUUUCAUUCAAUCGAUGAGUAGAGCAUGACGCAGUGUUCUGUGCACAACGAUCAGUGUCAAGAGUGCAGGCUUAUCUAGUGCUGUGUGUGCCGUGUUCUUAAAUAACAAUUUAUUACUCUAUAAUAGGUUAAGUUUAUUUACUCGUAAAGAAAAGUGCUAAUAUAGUUUCUUGCAAUGUAUUUUGUUAUAAAACAAAAAAUUUUAAUAGUUAUAAAUUGG
Solenopsis invicta (red fire ant) is the source of this 731-nucleotide long non-coding RNA. RefSeq lists it as uncharacterized. The record is from RefSeq and is a predicted model, not a curated record. The transcript has 2 exons. NCBI's taxonomy places the organism in Eukaryota, Metazoa, Arthropoda, Insecta, Hymenoptera, Formicidae.